Molecule: unclassified non-coding RNA, 194 nt
Filed under: uncultured Mucor
Lineage: Eukaryota; Fungi; Mucoromycota; Mucoromycetes; Mucorales; Mucoraceae
Description: sequence contains ITS2
Source: RNAcentral
ACACCCCACAUUUCCCAACUUUUUUGUUGUUGAAUGGACUUGAGAGUUUUUACGGUCGCUUCUGUGGCUGUACUCUUUAAAAUCAUAAGGCCUGAACUUGUUUAGUCUGCCUGAACUUUUUUUUUUAAUAUAAAAGAAAGCUCUUGUCAAAAUAAACUCUGUAUGGGGGGCCUCCCAAAUAAUACAUUUCUUAA